AGCAGGUGUUCUGUGGCAGGUGUUCUGUGGGCACAUGUAAAGAGUGCGCAGCGCGCCCGCUCGAGCUAGAGCGCAACCAGUACACAUCGUGUGAGAAAACCGUGUCCAAAUCAACAGAGGCUAAUAUAGUCCCCAAGAUACACCAUGUAUCGACGCAAAUUGAGAAACGAAUUCAAGGUUUCUACAACGCCUGCCCACCAGCGAAUGUGCCACAGCCAAUCAAAGAGUGCCAACCUCAGCAGAAGCAGUUUCCAGAGAGAGGUUACAAAGCAGCAUCCUCUGUAUUGUAGAGGACCAAGAAUAGCGACUCCAGGAACCUGUGAAAGUCGUGGAAGGUGCCAGUGCAUAUGCAAAAGAGGCUGCUGACAAAACCACAUGGUGUGCAGGCAUCUAUCAGACCAACAUGUACUCUCCAACGGUCUCCUGUUGGAUGCAAUCCCACGAUCUCGAAGACAGCGACAAUAUUUCUUGAUCGUCGGAACCGCUGUCCCAAGGUCAACGCCUCUAGUCUUGGAAUAUCCAACACGGACCAGCAGUCGAAUGGAGGAAUAUUGAAAUGGUGAUGGCAUCACAGAUGGUGAUGAUGAGUGCAGACUGACAGCAAGCUCACCUUUAAUGAAGAAGGAGAGAAAAAGGCCCUGCCACAGUCAAUCGAGAGCCCGCACUUGUCAUCGUCAGUGAUAGCGCACUGUGCUCAUGGAGGUUUCAAGAUCUGGAGGCUUUGAACUUAUGACAGUGCUGUGACCUUUCCAAUGCAACCUGUGCCUACAGACGAUUGUAUAUUGAAAUAGUCUUCUCGCGUUUUACAUUGACACAGCCUAAGGAAAAGUGCCGAUUCUGCGAGCACACACUUGCUUGCAAUGGUCCUUUUCAGCAAAUAAUUAGCAAAUAAAUGAGUCGGAAGCUCGCAUCUAUCGGUAGAUUGCAUGGUGUUGUGUCAGAUUUCUUGCUCUAUUUUCGAUAAAAUUAAUUUUGCCAUUCUUUCAACCCGCAAUCCUGCCUUGCAAUCCUUUCAUCCCUCUUGACUAGCCUCAGCUGGUCUCCGAGUGCAGGACUGGACUGCACUGCCUUUCACAUAAAUCUGCUGAUAAUCUCUUCCUGCCCUUCGGUGCUAGCUGUGCAUUCCCAUGUGCUGUGGUUCGGUGUCAGUGUGCUCUCACUCCGCCGGCAUAUGUAUUCGUAUUCUGUUGGGUAAUACGUAUGUAAUCUGUGGAUGUUUGUGUGUCUGUAUGGUGCCAACGCCGCAGAAUCCACGGCCGAAAGGUACUUGUGUGGUACUGGGUGGAGCCUCAGCUAUUCUCAGUAAUAUUGCAGGAUCGCCUUUUAACUGUGAUCGAUGGUCGUUAGGUUCUCCACGGUGUUAGACUGAAGCGUGCAGAACUUUAGCAUUGAGAAGCCGAAGCUAGAUCGCAUUCAUUGCUUCGCCUCUUUGGCGAAACUGUGACUUUUUUUCUCGAAUACUAACCACCUACGAUAUAUUUUAGCAGUCCAUUGUACAAUUUUAUGUGCGGUACUUCUUGUAGGAAGUUUUAUUAUGCAGAAGCGAUACACUCAAACCCCGAUAUAACAAUCCAGGAUAUAACAAAUUAUAGGUUAUAAGGAAGUAGAUGAAAAAUAGUCUUGCCAUAGAUAUAGUGUUAGGAAUAAACCUGCAUAACGAAUGUUUAGAUAUAACAAAUUUAUUUUUGUAUAAGAUGCAACUUUGUUAUAAUGAGGUCUGGGGUAUGAGACAAGGGGGCAUUAGAUUUAUGCGGCAUGCAUAAAACAUGACGAGUUAAGCUAUUAAUUCAUCCACUUUUCUCUUGUGGUUACAGGCACCGUCACAUAAAAGCACAGCCUCAUGUGAUGCACCAGAAUGCCUUUAAAGUGCCUGCUGUGAUAACGUGAUUUUUUGAUAUUGAGGUUCUCCCCACCACAAACAUAGGCUCCAUAAAAACCACCCACCACCACUUGGCCAAUGCGGUGGGCGCACUGUGAGAAACGAGCCGUUUUAAUGGUCAACUAAGGUCAACACAUCCUUUGUUUUGUAAAAUGGUGGCUAACUUCAGAGGAAUACCUUCGAGCUUUCCAAACUCUGUAUAUUUACAAAUCACCCCAUGCCCCAUAGAAACGAGGAAAAAGGCAAGGGCAAGAGAUUUUUGGCUCACGCGCCUGUCAUCUUUGUAGAGGAAGCAUUGACUUAGAUUUAGGUGCAUAUGUGAAAGGACCACAUGUGGCAGAAAUUUCUGUACCCUUUCAUUCCGACGUCCCUCAUGAUUAUCUGGUUUUCGGACAUCAAACCCCAACAAUCAUAUUGUAUACUUGACUUAAUUGGUUGUGUCUGACAAGGUGCAUUGCAGUAUUUUCAGUCACCCUGUAGAUGCUGAUGCCUCCUUACUUUCAAUGGAUAGGGUUCAGGCAUACUUGUUCCCAGUUCAACUAGUGAAAUAGGGCUUUAAUGAUUAUUACGUUCUUGGAUGCUUUAUAUCAUGCUGCGAUCAGGUUGUAUUGCUGGCACAAUCAACUGCAGUUUUUCAAGGGAACCGUUUUGUGCAGCGUGACCAGUCUACAUUUUGUGAGAAGGGCAUGUCCAAAGCAACAAACGCUAACAUGACAUCGAUAGUUGGAUGGAAAUAUGUCUGAUCAAGAACAGACAAAGACAAAACAAGACAUUUCGGCCCCUGUACGGAAAGCUUGUUCACAGCGAAGAAAAAAUAAAACGAAAAGUUGGCCCCG
Molecule: unclassified non-coding RNA, 2715 nt
Filed under: Rhipicephalus microplus (southern cattle tick)
Lineage: Eukaryota; Metazoa; Arthropoda; Arachnida; Ixodida; Ixodidae
Description: uncharacterized LOC119187342, transcript variant X5
Source: RNAcentral